AAAAAGAGAACAACCACUGCAUACUGUACUUAUUUAAAUAACAAUAGAAGAAAACAGAACAUGGCACAAAGAGAACAAUUAACAUUGUGUUUAACACAAGUGAAUAAGCACAAGUGAAAACACAACAUUAAAAACUUGUUUGCCCGCGAAUUAACAUUAAAAAUGUUAAUUCUUGAGGAAACAAGAGAACCUGGUCUUUUCAAGAUAAAUGUUUAUACUUCAAAACGAAUAAUGUAAAACAACUCUAAUGACAAAUAUUGAAAUCGAAAGCGUAACACCAGGUUGUUUUACAAAUAAAAUAUAUGGCUCAAAGACAAAGUAAAUCAGACACGCUUUUACUUUUUUUAAUACAACUAACUGUUUUUGGCAAAGUGACCAAAAUUUUCGCUUGAGUAUGGAAAAUAAUGAUUUUAUCGCGAUGUCUAGAUGCUAAGUGAAGUCCAUUCGUUCCAGUGCGAGAUCAGUUGUCACGUGGUUGGCAAGACAUUGUCGUUGACUGACAGUGUGACCAGAUUUGGUAAAAAGUUUUACUUUUGGUAAAAUUCAUCGUUAAUUUUCAAGAACA
Non-coding RNA from Paramuricea clavata, 565 nucleotides. The record is from the annotation of a GenBank genome assembly. Lineage: Eukaryota; Metazoa; Cnidaria; Anthozoa; Malacalcyonacea; Plexauridae.